This 253-nucleotide ribosomal RNA is filed under the name uncultured bacterium. RNAcentral's name for it is "partial 16S ribosomal RNA". It matches the Rfam family "Bacterial small subunit ribosomal RNA", at positions 524 to 776 of the family's 1533-position model. The record is from RNAcentral.
UACGUAGGGUGCGAGCGUUGUCCGGAAUUAUUGGGCGUAAAGAGCUCGUAGGCGGUUUGUCGCGUCGACUGUGAAAACCUACAGCUUAACUGUGGGCUUGCAGUCGAUACGGGCAGACUUGAGUUCGGUAGGGGAGACUGGAAUUCCUGGUGUAGCGGUGGAAUGCGCAGAUAUCAGGAGGAACACCGGUGGCGAAGGCGGGUCUCUGGGCAGUAACUGACGCUGAGGAGCGAAAGCGUGGGGAGCGAACAGG